GACUGGGGUUGGCAUAACCUUGCUAGCAUUUCCCAGUACCUCACGGCCAUAAAAAAUAAACCACCUCCCGUGGGAUGAUUUUUGAGCCAUUCCAAAGCUGGGUAUCCCAGCUGCACCCUCAGGAUCUGCAAUCCGACAUGGAGAUUUGCUUGGAACAGGAACAGAAUGCUAGCAGGGAGUUUAUUUCUAUUAACAAUUCUAAUUGGGGUGAGGAAAAGGGCACGGGGGAGUUCCUGAGAGUAAUCUAUAUGAUUAUAUUGGCAGUUUGGUGACAAACACAAUCAAAGCCUCGGUGCAGGGCACAUCAAAGCAGCAGAUCCCUCUCCCUUGCUCUCUAAUCAUCAGACACUUCUUUCCCUGCAGAAUUGACUUGCCUCCAUCCCACAAACCUGCCCCUCCACCAAAGAGGAAACAGGAGAUGAAAAGCCACCUGACUCCAGAAGAUAUCCAGGUUGUUCACUUGGACAACAUGAAACACGAGGAGGAGAUCCAGAAGCUCCCCUUGCAGACUCCAUACUAUGACAUGGCAGCCCCUGAGCCCUCUCCCUACACUGACAAACUGAACUUUGGAAAGUGUCACCCAGAGGUAUCGGAUGCGGGUGAUUACCUGAGCCGCUGCUACUCACACCAGGAUCAUCGGUACCUGGAGAAGAUCCCUCGUGUCUACACCCCCCUGUCAGACCUCCCACAGGAUCUUUACCCUCACCACUCUGACAUCUCCUUCUGCUGCCCACCCCCAGGCUCCCGGGCUCCCUACAUCUGCCCUAAGGAGCAGUAUGUCUGAGGUGCAGAACGAAGAAGCUCCACGUUCUUUCACUCGGCGACCAAGGCCUUUUAGAUCCUGCCUCCCCCCCCCCUUUUUUUUGCCAUCAGCUAAAUUUUAUGGGUUGAUUUUUAAAGCUGGGUCAGGCUGAGCACCUGCCCAGCUUUGCUCGUGCCCAAGGGAACGCUCUGCCCACGUCUCCUGCAGCUCCUGCAUCGCUCUCUCCUUCCUCCUCCUGGCCCUGCUGUGCCCAGCUGGCUCCGUGUGUGCAUGUGUCCGUGGGUGGCAGCUGCCCCUGUGGUGGGUGGGAUGUGCCCAACCCCAUGAAACAUUCCCUGUAGGCUCCCUCAUGUCAUUCCCUGUAGGCUCCCUCCUGUCAUUCCCUGCACCGCAGGAGCCGGGUGUGGAUCCUCCACGGCCCCUGGUCCAGCCUGUGUGAGGUUUUCCAGCACAGCCAGGGCUCAGGGCUCAGGCUGUAGCUUUGGGAGUUGUUUUUUUUUUUCUAUCACCACCCCCCCCUCUUUGGAGAAAUUUCCCCCUUGGCAGUGGGGGUAGGAAAUCCCUGUUUGUGAAGAGCUAAACAGCCAGGAUGGCUGAACCAAAUCAUAAGAUGCUUGUAAUGAAAGAUGCUCAAAACCAACCCAAAAAUAGAGAUCAGUGCUUGACUUGGGGGGGUUUUGUUUCUAUCCUUUUCCCUUCCUGCUCCCAUUCCCCAUCUCUUGGAUUGACUCCUUUAAAUCCAUGUGACAUGGGGACGUAUUUUGAAGUCAACCCAUUUGGAGGAAGCAUCCUUUAAAUAACUGUCUUAUAACCUGAAACCAGAAGGGGAAAAUAAUUAUGAAGGAAAACAUUCUCUCUAAUUUUCUUUUCAAAGCCUAACGUGGCCCCCCACUAGCUUUUCCCCUCUCUCUUCCUUGCAUCUGUUGAUUGGAAUUUUAAAAUUAACUCAGGCAGAAUAUGAAGAACAAAUCAUGUUUUCAGGUAAUCUCCUUGCUCUUAAUGAAGGAUAAAAGCCAACAGAGGAAUCUGGCCUUUUAACUUUUUUAAAAGCAUCUUAGUUUUGGGACUACACUUUUUUUUUUUUUUUUGGAUAUUGGAAUGUGUGUGGGUGUGUCAAUCCAAACGUGUACAUUCCUGUGGCCACAAAGUGUUUUAGAGAAGGGAAUUUGUCUCCACAUCACAUUUGUGUUCACCUGUAUUAGAGGAAAAAAUAAAUGUCGAUAUACACUUAAAUGUAUAUAAAAG
Manacus vitellinus (golden-collared manakin) is the source of this 2008-nucleotide long non-coding RNA. NCBI's taxonomy places the organism in Eukaryota, Metazoa, Chordata, Aves, Passeriformes, Pipridae. The record is from Ensembl.